RNAcentral lists this ribosomal RNA (417 nucleotides) under uncultured bacterium. RNAcentral's name for it is "bacterial SSU rRNA". It matches the Rfam family "Bacterial small subunit ribosomal RNA", at positions 355 to 787 of the family's 1533-position model. The record is from RNAcentral.
UGGGGAAUAUUGGGCAAUGGGCGCAAGCCUGACCCAGCAACGCCGCGUGAAGGAAGAAGGCCCUCGGGUUGUAAACUUCUUUUAUUCGGGACGAAGAAGUGACGGUACCGAAUGAAUAAGCCACGGCUAACUACGUGCCAGCAGCCGCGGUAAUACGUAGGUGGCAAGCGUUAUCCGGAUUUACUGGGUGUAAAGGGCGUGUAGGCGGGACUGCAAGUCAGAUGUGAAAACCAUGGGCUCAACCUAUGGCCUGCAUUUGAAACUGUAGUUCUUGAGUGAUGGAGAGGCAGGCGGAAUUCCGUGUGUAGCGGUGAAAUGCGUAGAUAUACGGAGGAACACCAGUGGCGAAGGCGGCCUGCUGGACAUUAACUGACGCUGAGGCGCGAAAGCGUGGGGAGCAAACAGGAUUAGAUACCC